Molecule: long non-coding RNA, 4925 nt
Organism: Erinaceus europaeus (western European hedgehog)
Lineage: Eukaryota; Metazoa; Chordata; Mammalia; Eulipotyphla; Erinaceidae
Exons: 2
Source: RefSeq, a predicted model, not a curated record
AGGAGUCAGGGGUCAGGAGCCCGGCACCAUCCCUACCCCCCGGGUGAGGACACAAGACUGCAGACUCGAGGGGGGCUUGUUGAGAGUGGGGAGGGGCUGUGAUGACAGUGUGCCCAGGCCCCUGAAUGGGACCUGCCAGGUGCUGCGGCCAGUGGGUGUGGUCCUCUCAUUGCUCCAGGGAUGGCUUCCCCUCUUCUAACUUCAGAAAGAUCAGGACAGAGACAGAGAGCAGGAGACCACAGUGGCAGAGCUUCUCCCAGUGCUGUGACACUCCCACGUGGUGCUGGGGUUCCACCGGGCGUGCUCCACCCCAAGCACAGGUCUUCAAGGGGAAGGAGCAUGAGUGCACGUGUGCCUGGCACGGCAUGUGGCUCCUGUGUUGUGGUCUCCUCAGGUCCUUGUGGACGCCCCCUCAGCACAGGAACAGUCCCCGGCACACAGUAGGGCUGCCCCCCUCUUGGCUGUGCCUGAAGGAGACAAGCCUGGUUCUCGUUUGCAUACGAGGAGACGGGGAUUCCAAAUCUGCUUCCCUGCUUGAGAAGGUGCUUAAGGCAUUCACCUUGCAGAAGCCACCUUCUGGGCUAAGGGGAUUCAUGCUGUGUCCCGGGAGGGGGGACAAGUCACUUUGCCUGCCGUGCCCCUCCUGGCAGCCAUCACACACCCCCAUCGGGCCCCAGUUAGGCUAUGAGCCCAGGUCACACCCUGGCGUGGGCAGGCCCGGUGCAUCCUGAGCUUGGGCGAUGGCGGCACAGGCCACAGACCCAAACCAUCUGCAGCUGUGCACACGGCAGCCGCGGCGGCAAGUUCCUGAUUCCUGCUCCCCUCUGCCUUCUGAGAAACGGGACCUUGAGCAAAAUGCAGAAGGAUGAGGCUGUGGAGACCCACUUCCUGGACCCUGUCUGACUGGCCCAUCUCCGGUGACCCUGGCGGCCCACCUGUGGGUGUGUGAACCUACUUCUCCAGGCCAGGGAGCUCGCUCAGCUGCUCAGGGAGCCCUCUGUGGGUCGAGGCUAGGCAGGUUUCAAUCUCACAUGGGAGAGAAGUCACUUGGAAAGUGGCCUUAAAAGGGAACGUUCUGCUUCCUCUGGGGAGCCUUCCAGGCUUUUCUUUCUAGAGUCCCAUCCCCUCGGGCCCCACAGCCACACUGUCACAGACUGUUACGGGGUUCGUGUUCCCAGAGGGGUCAUUGCUUCCGAAGCAUGAACGCACCUGCCGCGGUCACUCUGCUGCCAUGUACAAGGGCUCAGGCCCUGGGGACCCAGAGGGGGCUCCCUGUCCCCAGGCAGCUCACUGCAUAGCUGGGGACACUCUCAGGAGCCUUCCCAGCUGGCGGGAAAGCUGGCCCACCAGAAGAGCUGUCACGAGGAGUAGGGGUUGGUCACCCUGAGUCUGGGACAAGGAGGACGCCAGUACCUGUCUCAUAUUGUACACGUGUCGUCAGAUGCGGCCUGCCGGGCAAGGCAAGCUUUUCUGGGAGAAGGCCACUGGGGCUCAGAGAGGAGGUUAAGUGACUUGCCUAAUGUCACACAGCCAGUAGGCAAGGGGGGAAAUGAUCAAAUCUCUGAACCCCCCCUUUCCUUGCUCUCUCCUCUGCUGCAUUUUUUCAUUCUUUUAUUCCCCCAUUAAUUUUUUUAUUACCUCUGGGUUAUUGUUGGAGCUUGGCACUGGCACGAAGAAAUUGGAAGAGGAGGGGAGAGAGAGAGGGAGAGAGAGACAUCUGCAGACCUGCUUCACCACUCCUGAAGUGCCUCCCCUGCAGACAGGGACUGGAGGCUUGAACCCAGGGCCUUGUGCAUGGUAACAUGCACCUAACCAGGUGGGCCACCUCCUGACCCCUUGUUCUCCAUUUUCUCCGCUUGUGCAGGGCUAGUCAGAGCUCACCAUGGUCGGCCGGGUGCCCAUGAGAAGGAGGAAGAUGAGUGGGGCCCCAGGAAAUAAGUCAACACCGAGAUUUAGUUGGUCAAGGCUGAGGAGCUAACAGGAGAGCAGGGAGGGUAGUGGGGCCCCUGAGCUGGGGGCAUGGUGGCAGCAGUGAGGUGAGCCUGGGUCCCGUGUGACUGCUGUCCCUGAGCUGCCUGGCUCUGUGUGGGUGACCCUGGGGUGCAGGCCUGUGGCCAGCUGGGUCUGGAGGCUGAGUCAGCCUGUGUCCUUUUCACCUCAGGGUCCUCAGUCCCUGUGCCUGGAAGCAGAUCUGGUGAGGCCAAGUCCCACUGCGAGAGGGGAGUAGAAAGGGAGAGGCCUUUGAGACUCUACACAGAGGGGUUGAGUGGUGGUGGUGCACCAAGGACCCAGGUUCGAGCCCCCAGCCAACCCCCACCUGCAGGAGAGGAGCUUCAUGGGUGAUACAGCAGGGCUGCAGGUGUGUCUGUCUCUCUCCCUCUCUGUCUCCCUUCCCCUGUCUCUAUCCAGCAGGUAAAGUUGUUUUUAAACAGAGAGAGCAUCUGCAAUGCUAGCUGAGCUUGAGUGGGCAGGCUGCAGGCGUGGGGUCUGUUCCUGGGCCGCGUUCUGCCAUCUGGAAGCCGGCUGGGAGGGCCCCCACUCUGUGGCUCCCAUAACCAUGAAGUUAAGUGCUCCCAUAAGCACUGCAUAAUGUGACUCGGCUUCACCUCCCCUGGGGUGACAGAGAGAGAGUGGGCGAGCGAGCGAGGUGGGAGAGCACAGGCCUUGCAUGCCUGAGGCCUGCAUUAUAAAAAAAAAUUUAAAAAGAGUGCAGGGCAGAUAACAGCAUCAAGCACUGGACUUGUAUACCUGAGGCCACAGAGGAUCUGGGUUCAAUCCCUGGUUCCACUAUACCCCCGAGUGAAACAGUGUGCUGCUCUCUCUCUCUCUCCCUUAGGGGAAUAAAUAGAUACAAAUCUGUUCUUAGGAGAGAGGCAGUUGCGGGACCUUGGCUUUGUGACUCCCCGUCCCCCAGGAGUGACUGUCUGCACCCUAAUGUGUCAGGGGGAGGAUGGGGCCGUGCACAGUGCUAGCACACGGGUCUUGCAUGAAAGCAAUCCCAGGCUCAUCCCAGAAACCUCCAGUGAUAAGGAGAGACAGAGAGGACACGAGACUGGGGCCUGGACUUCAAGGACUACCCACUCAGCUCUAAUGUUUCCCAGUAUCCCUGGCACUUGGGGAGGGGCCUUGCUCCUUGGUGCCGCGGGCCAUGCACAGAGCUAGCGGCUCAUCUCCACCUGCUUGCUCUGGAGAAGGCGGAAGCUGCGGUGUGGCUUCAGCUCAGCCGACAGCCCAGGAACCUGGGCCUCAGAGUGCUGCCCACUGGGCUCUGGCUUCUGUUUCUCUGGCUGGGCCUUGUUUGGGGGGCAGCUCAGGAACUGGGUCCUUUGUGCCCCCUAGCAGGCCACAGAGGAAGCAGAAGGGAGCCCCUUCUGCUUCCCCUGCAGAAGGGGCUCCCGGCUGGCAGAGGUGCCCAGCUGUGACAGGUCUUGUCAGACCCAGGAGACAGACCUGGGGUGCCUCCUGGUCACAUGGGGGUCAGCUGGCCACUCGAGCCCUAACGUGGCACCAACACGAUUAUCAUGCCCACCGCCCAUCCCUUCUGUCCCUCACCUCCUAAUACACCCUUGAUUUUGACUCAGCAGUGAGUGAAACUAUUUUUUGAAUGUAUGUACUGGAGAGGAGGAGCUCACAGGGCUGAGUUUAUGCUUUGCCAUGAAGGUGGCCUAGCUUCAAACCAGUGACCAGAGUGGGCCUGGAGGAUUGGGACCGCACCAGCGCCCAGAAGCCCCACGACGUGGACUCUCCUCAGCCCAGAGCCUCAGUGCCCUCGUCUCAGAAGAUGAGAGAAAGCAGAGCCCAUCUGACGGGUCCUGAAGAGCGUGGACCGAGUCCCGUGUGAGCACCUUACUAACACAGAACCAAGCACAGUACUUGCUCCGGAGCACCGAGGUCAAAUACUGGACCCUGAGAGCCUGCUCCCGCCCAGCUGGCUCACCUGGUCCUCGGCUGGAGGCGGACACCCACAGCCUCGGGGGCCGGCCCCCGCGUCUUGUCUGCCAGGCUCUGUUCCACGGCCACCUGCAGGAGCUCGUCUUCACUCAGGGUGCUGCACAGACUGUACUCCUCGUGCCCGAUGGCAUGCUGCCCGCCCUGCCCGCUCGCCUCCGUGGCCAUCCCUGCUGCCUCCCAGCCGGCCUCCUGUGGGGGGACAGGGGCAUCAGAGGAGCCUGGGAGGACCCCAAAGCUGUCGCGGUCACUAGCGCUCUGGGCCUGUGUGCCGUCUUUCCACCUCAUCUGUCUAUCCCUCCAGCUCAGGUUCCUCCCCUUCUCCAUCCAUUCUUCAGCCAUCCAUUCUUCUUCAUCCAUCCUCCUUCCCACCCUGCCCAUCUAUCCCUCCAUCCCUCGCUCAUCUCAUCUCUCUGCUAGCCUGUCCCCUCACCCAGCCCCCACCCCCUUAUCUUCCUGUCCUCUCUGUGAGAAUGCCUUUGCCGCCCCGGGGAUGGCACAGUGGGCAGAACACAGGACUCAGAGUCCACACCCUAGCAUAUCACUUGCUGGAAUGAUCCUGGCUCUCUCUUUGCUCACUUGCUCAUUAAUAUUUAAAAUCCCUGGAGCUGGGGGCCAGGCCAUGGCACACACAUGUCACCAUCAUAGGACCUGGGUUUGAGCCUGUUCCCCACCUGCAGGGGACGCUUCACAAGUGAUGAAGCAGGGCUGCAGACAUCUGUCUUUCUCACUCCCUCCCCUCUCAAUUUCUCUCUUGUUUUUAUCAAGUAUAAUAGAGAGAAAAAAGGGGCCAGUACCCACCUGUUUAAGAGUUCACAUAUAGUGAGCAAGGACAUGGGUUCAAGCCCCCGGCCCCCACCUGCAGGGGGAAAACUUCAAAAGCUGUGAAGUGGGUCUGCAGGGCCUCUCUGCCUUUCUUUCUCCCUCUUCCCUCUAAGUUUUUCUUUGUCCUAUCAAAUAAAAUAAAUUUAAAGAGA